AUUGAACGCUGGCGGCAUGCCUAACACAUGCAAGUCGAGCGGAUGAACGGAGCUUUCGCCUGUAUUCAGCUGCGGACGGGUGGGUAAUUCCUAGGAAUCUGCCUUGUAUUUGAGGAUAACGUCCGUAAACGGGCGCUAAUACCGCAUACGUCCUGAUGGAGAAAGUGGUGGAUCUUCAGACCUCACGCUAUCAGAUGAGCCUAGGUCGGAUUAGCUAGUUGGUGGGGUAAAGGCCUACCAAGGCGACGAUCCGUAACUGGUCUGAGAGGAUGAUCAGUCACACUGGAACUGAGACACGGUCCAGACUCCUACGGGAGGCAGCAGUGGGGAAUAUUGGACAAUGGGCGAAAGCCUGAUGCAGCAAUGCCGCGUGUGUGAAGAAGGUCUUCGGAUUGUAAAGCACUUUAAGUUGGGAAGAAGGGAAGUAAGUUAAUACAUUGCUGUUUUGACGUUACCAAAAGAAUAAGCAACGGCUAACUUCGUG
Molecule: ribosomal RNA, 484 nt
Filed under: uncultured bacterium
Lineage: Bacteria
Description: partial 16S ribosomal RNA
Rfam family: Bacterial small subunit ribosomal RNA
Source: RNAcentral